UCCGGUGGUUCUGAAUGGAAGGGCCAUCGCUCAACGGAUAAAAGGUACUCCGGGGAUAACAGGCUGAUACCGCCCAAGAGUUCAUAUCGACGGCGGUGUUUGGCACCUCGAUGUCGGCUCAUCACAUCCUGGGGCUGAAGUAGGUCCCAAGGGUAUGGCUGUUCGCCAUUUAAAGUGGUACGCGAGCUGGGUUUAGAACGUCGUGAGACAGUUCGGUCCCUAUCUGCCGUGGGCGCUGGAGAACUGAGGGGGGCUGCUCCUAGUACGAGAGGACCGGAGUGGACGCAUCACUGGUGUUCGGGUUGUCAUGCCAAUGGCACUGCCCGGUAGCUAAAUGCGGAAGAGAUAAGUGCUGAAAGCAUCUAAGCACGAAACUUGCCCCGAGAUGAGUUCUCCCUGAGACUUUAGGUCUCCUGAAGGAACGUUGAAGACGACGACGUUGAUAGGCCGGGUGUGUAAGCGCAGCGAUGCGUUGAGCUAACCGGUACUAAUGAACCGUGAGGCUUAACCUUACA
This 515-nucleotide ribosomal RNA is filed under the name Salmonella enterica subsp. enterica serovar Aba. RNAcentral's name for it is "partial 23S ribosomal RNA". It matches the Rfam family "Bacterial large subunit ribosomal RNA", at positions 2419 to 2925 of the family's 2925-position model. The record is from RNAcentral. Lineage: Bacteria; Pseudomonadati; Pseudomonadota; Gammaproteobacteria; Enterobacterales; Enterobacteriaceae.